UUCCUUCGGGGCGCAGCAGUGAGGAAUAUUGGUCAAUGGGCGGGAGCCUGAACCAGCCAAGUCGCGUGAGGGAAGACGGUCCUAUGGAUUAUAAACCUCUUUAGGCGGGGGGCAAUGCCGGGCACGCGGGCCCGGAGGGAAAGUACCCGCAGAAAAAGCAUCGGCUAACUCCGUGCCAGCAGCCGCGGUAAUACGGAGGAUGCGAGCGUUAUCCGGAUUUAUUGGGUUUAAAGGGUGCGUAGGCGGUCCGGAAAGUCGGCGGUAAAAGCCCGGGGCUCAACCC
Molecule: ribosomal RNA, 283 nt
Filed under: uncultured bacterium
Lineage: Bacteria
Description: partial 16S ribosomal RNA
Rfam family: Bacterial small subunit ribosomal RNA
Source: RNAcentral